UAGUAACGGCGAGUGAAGCGGCAACAGCUCAAAUUUGAAAUCUGGCGCAAGCCCGAGUUGUAAUUUGUAGAGGAUGUUUCUGGCGACGUGCCUUCCGAGUUCCCUGGAACGGGACGCCAUAGAGGGUGAGAGCCCCGUACGGUUGGAUGCCUAGCCUCUGUGAAACUCCUUCGACGAGUCGAGUAGUUUGGGAAUGCUGCUCUAAAUGGGAGGUAUACGUCUUCUAAAGCUAAAUACCGGCCAGAGACCGAUAGCGCACAAGUAGAGUGAUCGAAAGAUGAAAAGCACUUUGAAAAGAGGGUUAAAAAGUACGUGAAAUUGUUGAAAGGGAAGCGUUCAUGACCAGACUUGGGCAGGUUGAUCAUCCGUGGUUCUCCGCGGUGCACUCUGCCUGCCCAGGCCAGCAUCAGUUCGCCCCGGGGGAUAAAGGCUCUGGGAAUGUGGCUCCUCCGGGAGUGUUAUAGCCCACUGCGUAAUACCCUGGGGUGGACUGAGGUUCGCGCUCUGCAAGGAUGCUGGCGUAAUGGUCAUCAACGACCCGUCUUGAAACACGGACCAAGGAGUCGUCUUCGUAUGCGAGUGUUCGGGUGUCAAACCCCUACGCGUAAUGAAAGUGAACGUAGGAGAGAGCUUCGGCGCAUCUCCGACCGAUCCUGAUGUUCUCGGAUGGAUUUGAGUAAGAGCAUACGGGGCCGGACCCGAAAGAAGGUGAACUAUGCCUGUAUAGGGUGAAGCCAGAGGAAACUCUGGUGGAGGCUCGCAGCGGUUCUGACGUGCAAAUCGAUCGUCAAAUAUGGGCAU
Molecule: ribosomal RNA, 801 nt
Filed under: Clonostachys sp.
Lineage: Eukaryota; Fungi; Ascomycota; Sordariomycetes; Hypocreales; Bionectriaceae
Description: partial large subunit ribosomal RNA
Rfam family: Eukaryotic large subunit ribosomal RNA
Source: RNAcentral